CCUACGGGUGGCAGCAGUGAGGAAUAUUGGUCAAUGGACGAGAGUCUGAACCAGCCAAGUAGCGUGAAGGAUGACUGCCCUAUGGGUUGUAAACUUCUUUUAUAUGGGAAUAAAAUGUUCCACGUGUGGGAUUUUGUAUGUACCAUAUGACUAAGGAUCGGCUAACUCCGUGCCAGCAGCCGCGGUAAUACGGAGGAUCCGAGCGUUAUCCGGAUUUAUUGGGUUUAAAGGGAGCGUAGGUGGAUUGUUAAGUCAGUUGUGAAAGUUUGCGGCUCAACCGUAAAAUUGCAGUUGAAACUGGCAGUCUUGAGUACAGUAGAGGUGGGCGGAAUUCGUGGUGUAGCGGUGAAAUGCUUAGAUAUCACGAAGAACUCCGAUUGCGAAGGCAGUUCACUGGACUGUAACUGACACUGAGGCUCGAAAGUGUGGGUAUCAAACAGGAUUAGAUACCCGAGUAGUC
RNAcentral lists this ribosomal RNA (460 nucleotides) under uncultured bacterium. RNAcentral describes it as "partial 16S ribosomal RNA". It matches the Rfam family "Bacterial small subunit ribosomal RNA", at positions 338 to 795 of the family's 1533-position model. The record is from RNAcentral.